This 859-nucleotide long non-coding RNA is filed under the name Homo sapiens (human). RNAcentral describes it as "HSALNT0310183". The record is from RNAcentral. Lineage: Eukaryota; Metazoa; Chordata; Mammalia; Primates; Hominidae.
GUUCUACUGACUGAAGUGAUCCUAUCUUGUGACUCAUGCAUGGCACGUCUAUAAGUCAAGCUGGAAUCCUCUAAAAUAAGUCACAUGGGAAAAAAUUCUGAUCUUAUUCUAGACGAAGAAUGAAAAGCCAGGAAGCUACAUAACCCAAGCUAUGCUUGCUUACAGAAACAACAGUCAGAUGCCAAUAACCAGGAACCACCUGCAGGACAAGCUAAGCCCAGAAAUGCUGCCUUCACCUGAACUUCUGCCUCAGUGCGAGACCUGACCUGAUUUCUUGCCUCUUUCUCAUACCAACAUUUCCAUCCAGUGGGGAGAAAUGUACCUUGCUGGGUGCAAAAAGUGCCAAUGCAAAAGAAAAUGCAAGACUGCGCAUACUUAACCCCUCCUGGAAGAACAAACUUUUUUCAAGGAAUCCCCACCCCUGUCUCCACCUACCUGCCCAAAAGUCCUUAAAAAUUUCCCUUUACUCUACUUCCAGGGAGAAGGUGCUUUGAGCAUGAGCUCCCGUUCUCCAUUACUUGAUCAAUGAAUGGAAUUUCUGCACUGUUUUGCCAAACCUGGUCUCCUUAUAUUAGUGUGAAAGGCACCAGGCACGGGGAAAAAAAAAAACCAUCAGGGUCAAGGGAGGCCCUUUGAGGGUCAGUUGAUAAGGGGACUACAUGAAUUUUUUUUUUUUUUUUUUUUUUUUUUAGACCGAGUCUAGUUCUGUCGCCCAGGCUGGAGUGCAGUGACGCGAUCUCGGCUCACUGCAGCUCCGCCUCCCGGGUUCACCCCAUUCUCCUGCCUCAGCCUCCCGAGUAGCUGGGACUACAGGCGCCCGCGACCAUGCCCGGCUAAUUUUUUGUGUUUUUAGUAGAGA